Molecule: ribosomal RNA, 375 nt
Filed under: uncultured organism
Description: partial 16S ribosomal RNA
Rfam family: Bacterial small subunit ribosomal RNA
Source: RNAcentral
GGGGGGGGGGGCAAGCGUUGUUCGGAAUUACUGGGCGUAAAGGGCGCGUAGGCGGUCCCGCAAGUCCUCCGUGAAAUCCCACAGCUCAACUGUGGAACUGCGAGGGAAACUGCAGGACUUGAGUCCGGGAGAGGAGAGUGGAAUUCCCAGUGUAGCGGUGAAAUGCGUAGAUAUUGGGAGGAACACCGGUGGCGAAGGCGGCUCUCUGGACCGGUACUGACGCUGAGGCGCGAAAGCUAGGGGAGCAAACGGGAUUAGAUACCCCGGUAGUCCUAGCCUUAAACGAUGAGCACUUGGUGUGGCGGGUAUCGACCCCUGCCGUGCCGAAGCUAACGCAUUAAGUGCUCCGCCUGGGGAGUACGGUCGCAAAGGCUG